This 254-nucleotide ribosomal RNA is filed under the name uncultured bacterium. Its description in RNAcentral is "partial 16S ribosomal RNA". It matches the Rfam family "Bacterial small subunit ribosomal RNA", at positions 524 to 776 of the family's 1533-position model. The record is from RNAcentral.
UACGUAGGGAGCGAGCGUUGUCCGAAGUUACUGGGCGUAAAGCGCGCGUAGGCGGGGAAUUAAGUGAGAGGUGAAAGGCUGGGGCUCAACCCCAUGCAGUGCCUCUCAUACUGGUUUUCUUGAGGGCGGUAGAGGGAAGUGGAAUGGCUGGUGUAGCGGUGAAAUGCGUAGAUAUCAGUCGGAACACCGGUGGCGAAGGCGGCUUUCUGGGCCGUUCCUGACGCUGAGGCGCGAAAGCCAGGGGAGCGAACGGG